Molecule: ribosomal RNA, 438 nt
Filed under: uncultured bacterium
Lineage: Bacteria
Description: partial 16S ribosomal RNA
Rfam family: Bacterial small subunit ribosomal RNA
Source: RNAcentral
CUACGGGACGCAGCAGUGGGGAAUAUUGCACAAUGGAGGGAACUCUGAUGCAGCAACGCCGCGUGGAGGAUGACGCAUUUCGGUGUGUAAACUCCUUUUAUAUAGGAAGAUAAUGACGGUACUAUAUGAAUAAGCACCGGCUAACUCCGUGCCAGCAGCCGCGGUAAUACGGAGGGUGCAAGCGUUACUCGGAAUCACUGGGCGUAAAGCGCAUGCAGGCGGUUAAAUAAGUUGGAAGUGAAAUCCUAUGGCUCAACCAUAGAACUGCUUCCAAAACUGUUUAACUAGAGUCUGGGAGGGAAGAUGGAAUUAGUAGUGUAGGGGUAAAAUCCGUAGAGAUUACUAGGAAUACCAAAAGCGAAGGCGAUCUUCUGGAACAGUACUGACGCUGAGAUGCGAAAGCGUGGGGAGCAAACAGGAUUAGAUACCCGAGUAGUC